This 497-nucleotide ribosomal RNA is filed under the name uncultured bacterium. RNAcentral's name for it is "partial 16S ribosomal RNA". It matches the Rfam family "Bacterial small subunit ribosomal RNA", at positions 28 to 507 of the family's 1533-position model. The record is from RNAcentral.
GAUGAACGCUGGCGGCGUGCCUAAUACAUGCAAGUCGAGCGAACGGACGAGAAGCUUGCUCCUCUGAUGUUAGCGGCGGACGGGUGAGUAACACGUGGAUAACCUACCUAUAAGACUGGGAUAACUUCGGGAAACCGGAGCUAAUACCGGAUGAUAUUUUGAACCGCAUGGUUCAAAAGUGAAAGACGGUCUUGCUGUCACUUAUAGAUGGAUCCGCGCUGCAUUAGCUAGUUGGUAAGGUAACGGCUUACCAAGGCAACGAUGCGUAGCCGACCUGAGAGGGUGAUCGGCCACACUGGAACUGAGACACGGUCCAGACUCCUACGGGAGGCAGCAGUAGGGAAUCUUCCGCAAUGGGCGAAAGCCUGACGGAGCAACGCCGCGUGAGUGAUGAAGGUCUUCGGAUCGUAAAACUCUGUUAUUAGGGAAGAACAAAUGUGUAAGUAACUGUGCACAUCUUGACGGUACCUAAUCAGAAAGCCACGGCUAACUACGUG